RNAcentral lists this ribosomal RNA (516 nucleotides) under uncultured bacterium. Its description in RNAcentral is "bacterial SSU rRNA". It matches the Rfam family "Bacterial small subunit ribosomal RNA", at positions 15 to 524 of the family's 1533-position model. The record is from RNAcentral.
GAUCCUGGCUCAGAUUGAACGCUGGCGGCAGGCUUAACACAUGCAAGUCGAGCGGAAACGAUGAUAGCUUGCUAUCAGGCGUCGAGCGGCGGACGGGUGAGUAAUACUUAGGAAUCUACCUAGUAGUGGGGGAUAGCUCGGGGAAACUCGAAUUAAUACCGCAUACGACCUACGGGAGAAAGGGGGCAACUUGUUGCUCUCGCUAUUAGAUGAGCCUAAGUCGGAUUAGCUAGAUGGUGGGGUAAAGGCCUACCAUGGCGACGAUCUGUAGCUGGUCUGAGAGGAUGAUCAGCCACACCGGGACUGAGACACGGCCCGGACUCCUACGGGAGGCAGCAGUGGGGAAUAUUGGACAAUGGGGGCAACCCUGAUCCAGCCAUGCCGCGUGUGUGAAGAAGGCCUUUUGGUUGUAAAGCACUUUAAGCAGUGAAGAAGACUCCAUGGUUAAUACCCAUGGACGAUGACAUUAGCUGCAGAAUAAGCACCGGCUAACUCUGUGCCAGCAGCCGCGGUAAU